UGGAAUGGCAUGACCAUAUUCAAUUUUGUGUGAAAUCAAUCUUUAAGAUGUGAUUUGACUUUUUCUGAUCCACUGUACCUUCUCCAUAAAUCUCCUGUAUUCUUCUGCCUUUCACAGUCACCAUACCAGCUCAUGAUCUGUGACAUAAAGAAAUGGCAGUAUAAAACAAAGAAAGAAUAAUGUUAGAAAUCAAUGGAAGGAGAAUCUGUGCUGGACUUGUGCUUGCAAGUGUGAGACACUAUCUCAGCUCCACAGUCCUAAAUCCCCCCCAUGCAAAGUGGCAGGUCAUUGAUAUCAAGGUGACACCAGCCUUCGCGAACACUCUCGUGAUGUGAUGGGAGGGACGGACAGGAGAGAAGCUCAGGGCCACUUUCUUUAAGCUCCAUUAAGCUCAGUGGCAAAUCAUACCCUAAUACCUGUUGUCACGACGGAUUCACUGGAGUGAAAAUGCUUUUCCAGGCCACCGGGUGAGACACACACACGCACACAGCACCCUCGCUCACGCUGUUAUUCACUUACUUAAAUUUAUAAGCAGGCGAUAGUACGUGACAGGCGUGCAAUCUCACUGAGUAACCACAACACCUGCGACGCUUGAAGACAUGAUACUGACAGCGGUGGCGUGUGCUGAACUUCUGAAACGAGGAGCUACUGUUUUCAGUUUCUGGCUUAAAUGGGAACAUUGAAAACUAUUUUUCUUGCAUACAGGUCAGUCAUGACAACUCUCGGAAUAGAACUUAAUAUCAUUUACUGGUCUACAAAAUCUUGGACGCGGCCCGCAUCCUGAGCAGAUACUGUGGUGAUCAUGGAGGAGUAGGGAGCGUGAGACCCCAGAGACAGACGAAUCCCCCUAUUGAUCCCGUGGGCUUAAACACUCAACGCGGACUCCAGCUCGUGACGAUCCUACACCCGACUACUCAUUGUCCUUCACCUACUUCCCGGACAGGCCCGGCGCUACGGGGGGGCAAAGGGUGGCAUUGCCCCCUUAGAAAGAGUUUGUGCCCCCCCAGUUUUCAUAAGGGAUUGUUUACUCAAACUGAAAAUUCUUUCUGUCAUUAAUUAUUAACACCCCCGUAGUUC
Non-coding RNA from Danio rerio (zebrafish), 1077 nucleotides. The record is from RefSeq and is a predicted model, not a curated record. Lineage: Eukaryota; Metazoa; Chordata; Actinopteri; Cypriniformes; Danionidae.